UUUUUUUUUUGCUUUUUAGGGCUGCACCCUUGGCAUAUGGAGGUUCCCAGGCUAGGGGUCAAAUAGGAGCUACAGCUGCUGGCCUACACCACAGCCACGGCAACACCAGAUCCAAGCAAUCUACGACCUACACCACAGCUCACAGUAAUGCUGGAUCCUUAACCCACUGAGUGAGACCAGGGCUCGGAACUCCAACCAGCAACCUCAUGGUUCCUAGUCAGAUUCGUUUCUGAUGCGCCACGACGGUAACUCCCGACACCUAUAUUCUUUAUAAGCUCCCUAAGUGUUUUCGAAAGGAAGGCAGGGCAUUGGAGGAUGUGGCCGGAGCAUGGCUCUUCCUCCUCCCAGCUCCUCCCCCCAACCCCUGGAGUAGGCAAAGCAGGGAUUUAUUAAGCAAAAGUACACUCUCAGGAGGGAGAGCAGGCAGGCUUAGGUGAGCAGCUGCCCUGUAUCUAUUUUUUUUUUUUGCCAUACCCAUGGCAAAAAUAAUGCCCAGGCCAGGGAUCGAACCCAAGCCAGAGGAGCAGCAACCUGAGCCACUACAGUGACAAUGCCAAAAACUUAACCUGCUGAGCCACAAGAGAACUCCUGAAUAUUUUUUUUUUAAGCUUCUGGUGAUUUAAAUAUGCACUCAGUAUUGAGAACCACUAUAAAUCAAAACUCUGAACCCCAUUCCAAAAAACAACAUAGCAAAGAAUCACUGAGUGCUUCUAUAUGCUUUUUUACAUUUACUACCUCAUUUUAUUCUCAGCCCAAUAUUCAUUGUGCCUAUUAACUAGAUGAAUGUGUAAAUAAAUAUGCUGCUGUGUUCUGAUUUGUAACCCUAUAAAUACACAGAAAUCUCAUUUGUAAAAUCAAGGAGUUCAUCUAGAGAACGAAGUUAAUCUGCUAUUCAUCUGUAACAAGGAAGUAACAAUAAAAUCCCACCACUAGCACACUUAUUGUGCACUAAUUAUGCACCAGUUAUGAUGCUCAGGGCUUCACAUGGCUUAUCUGUCUAACCCUCACAACACAAAGUAACAGGCCCAUCCUGACCAUCAUUUAUAUGAGGGUCUUGCUUGUCCACAGAUCUACUGGUCAGCCUAUAACAGUGCAAAGAUACUGUGACCUAGAAGGCACAAGCUCAGGCUUAAGGUUUUGGAGGUGAAAAUGUCCUGAGGGUGAGAGUUGAGGUACUGCCUGUGAGUGUGGGUAUAAGAAAAGGAAUAGAAGUGAAAGUUAACAGAAGUAGAGAAAAUAUGAAACUAAGUUUCAGAUGACACUGAAAUCACCCUGGAUAACAAUGGACUGUCUUUGACUACCUGAUUCCUGGUUCUGAAGUGACCCAUGAAUACCUCAUUCUCAAGUUUAAUCUAUUUUGACUUGUCUCUUAAAUAUGGUCCUAUAGUGGUAUCUACCCUCCCUGGGUCCAUCAGUGAUGCCAGAGUUGCAGACUUUCUAUAGUAGUAUUUCCUAUUGGAAUCCUAGAGAGUCCAGAUACAUUCCCAAUCAAUAAAACCACCAAACGAGCCAGAAAAAGAGCAAAUUUUAUCAUUCUAAACUGCAUCCUUUAUACUUUUUGAAGAUUCUACAUUUUGAUAUACAUUUUAUAAAUUAAUAUAUUUGUUAGAUACAGUGAAAAAAAAACAGAAGAUACAGAGGAACAAAUUUAAAAUAUCUAAGUAGGAGUUCCC
This 1673-nucleotide long non-coding RNA is filed under the name Sus scrofa (pig). RNAcentral's name for it is "lncRNA (ENSSSCG00015073450.1)". The record is from RNAcentral. Lineage: Eukaryota; Metazoa; Chordata; Mammalia; Artiodactyla; Suidae.